GAAAAACCCAUUACUGAGCAGCUUUCCAGGAAUCAGCUCCAAUCUAUACUCACAUCCAAAACGCCGCCCUUUCAGGAUGUUGUCGUACAACAAGCUUUACUUAUGAUAGUGGAACCCAUUUUUGAGCCUAGGUUUUCAUCAAAGUCUCAUGCUUUUCGCCCUGGAAGGAAUCCCCAUACUGUUAUUAGGACCAUUAGAAGUAAUUUUGCUGGUUAUUUGUGGUUUCUGAAAGGUGAUAUUACUGAGGUUUUUCAUAACGUUGAUGUUGAUGUUGUUAUGGCUAGUCUCGAAAAGGCUGUCAAGGAUAAGAAGGUGUUGAACUUGAUAAAGUCAGGGUUGAAUGCUCGUCGAUGUGGAGAAGAGGGUGAAGAAGAAGAAGAUAGCAGGAAGAGAAAGAAGGGGCGGACAAAAAAGAGGAUUUUAAAUGAGAAUGAGCCCAAGCCAGACCCUUAUUGGUUAAGGACAUUCUUUGAGUUUGCUCCACAGGAGGCUUCUAAGAUACCCAGUUAUGGUGGUUGUGGAAUUCUUAGUCCUUUGUUGGCUAAUGUAUGUCUUAA
RNAcentral lists this unclassified non-coding RNA (557 nucleotides) under Hevea brasiliensis (rubber tree). Lineage: Eukaryota; Viridiplantae; Streptophyta; Magnoliopsida; Malpighiales; Euphorbiaceae. The record is from RNAcentral.